AUAAAUAAUUGCUUAUAAAGUUCAUUUAAAAGCCCCUAUGGCCCUGACUCAGAGAUGAAAUUUCUAGCAGGCUUUUCCCUAAUGUCUUUUUUGUAGAAUUAAGAUAGAUAUUAGAAAAAUAUGGUCAUUCUUUGUCUCAGGGAUUACAAGUUGUAAAGAGGAUGGAAACUUGGUCUCACUGGUGGCACAUCUUUGUUGCCAUUGAGGAAAGAGUCUGCUUGAGGAUUAAAUUCAUGUGAAAUUCACCAAUUCAUAAGUAUAAUUUAUCAACUCAAAAUAAGCUAUUAAGUCAUUAAUUUAGCCAUUAAUUCCUAAAUUUAUAUUCAGCAUAAAAAAUGAAUUAAAUGAAUUAAGCCUGCAUUAACAUAUGGGGCCACCAUGGCCAAUUUGUAUGUGACUAAUAUUUAUAGAUAUUAAAUAUUUAGUGAUAAAAAGUAAUUGUUGCUCUCAAUACAUAGAGAUGCAGCCUGAUUCAUAACAACAAACACUUAGUUUUAAUGACAUUUUAAUAUCAAGAACUUCAGAGGACUUAAUGAUUGAUCAGUGAAUUCCCUAGCUCAAUCCCUAGCACCAAGAAAGCAUCCAAUGAAUAUUAGCUUAUUUCUUCCUGUCUGGAUUUUAGUAUUUGCCUCUGCUAAACAGACUCUUUUUCUCAUCACCCAAAUUUACUGCAUGUACACUCUCUCCAAGGGUGAGAAGCAGACACCAUAAGGAAAUCAUUUCAGCUCCAGGGCACUCACAAAUCCUUUACUAUAAAUAUCUUUAUCAAAGGUUUUGCGAGUGCCAGAUAUAGGGGAAAAAAAGAGGAAUUCUGCUCUUAAAUAGCUUAUGGUCUACAAAAGAUGUCUUUCACUGUCCAACAUAUUUUCAUCCUUUUUGUGUGUUUUAGCAUUUCAUAAAUCCUGUAAUUUGGAAGUUUUAAUUUUUAUAUAUUUUCUAGAUUAGAAUUUUGUGUGGUUUGUCCUAUUUUCUAGUUGCAUGUGAGAUAACAUCUAUAUGUAUUUGGAGUUGCUUUGGACAAGAUAUGGGAUUGUUAGGAUUUUUUUACUGCCUAGAUUCCAAUCAUAAUAUUUCCUAUACUAUCAAAGGUCUGGUGAUUAAGAACCAUACAUAGACUAUGAAAAGGUUAAUAAUUGUGGUUUUUAAUAAUGAUAUUUCUCGGAUAAUGGGACCAAAAUGCAGUAUUUAAAUAUGAUUUCAGUCCAUCUACCAUUUAAUUUCUUUUUUAAAAAGUUAAGUUGCAUAUAAUGAUAUUGAUCAUGCAAAGUUUCAUAAGGCAGCAAGUAUAUUAAUUAGUCAAAGGAUCAAAACAUACUAAUUGGGCUAUUCUCUGGGAUUUUACAAAACAUGAAGAAUAAACUUUUAACUUUUAGACUUUUGAAUUAUAAAUGCCACCACUUAACUUGAAUAGUGAAGCAGAAGACCCAAAUUCUUUUUUUUUUUUUUUUUUGUCUUUUUAGGGCCAUACCCAUGGCAUAUGGAGGUUCCCAAGCUAGGGGUUGAAUUGGAACUCUAGCCACCGGCCUACACCAUAGCCAGAGUAAUGUCAGAUCCAAGCCACAUCUACGACCUACACCACAGCUCAUGGCUACGCUAGAUCCUUAACCCACUGAGCAAGACCGGGGAUCGAACCUGCAUCCUCAGGCAUGCUAGUCAGAUUCAUUUCAGCUGAGCCAUGAUGGGAACUCCUAGAAGAUCCAAAUUCUGAUACUACUUCUACCACUAAAAUUAGUAUAUCAUUAUUUGAAUUUUUUUAUUUUUGUCUUUUGUCUUUUGCUGCACCCGAGGCAUAUGGAGGUUCCCAGGCGGGAGCUGAAUCAGAGCUGCAGCUGCUGGCCUAUACCAGAGCCACAGCAACACCAGAUCCAAGCCAUGUCUGUGACCUAGACCAUAGUUCACAGCAACACCAGAUCCUCAACACACUGAGCGAGGCCAGGGAUCAAACCUGCAUCCUCAUUGAUACCAGUCAGGUUCGUUAACUACUGAGCCAUGACAGGAACUCCUAGUUGAAUAUUUUUCCAUCCUACAGGGGACUUCUUGAGUCAAAGUGUUAGGAAAGAAUAACAUUAGCUUAGAUUGCUAUGUUUAUCAGACUUUUUCAGUAGCAAAAGAUCAAAACCCAGACUAAACUAGUUUAAGCAAGAAAGGAAGCUAUAUCUACCUCAUCAUCAUCAUCUCCUCCUCCUCCUCUUCCCCCUUCUCUUGCUUUUCCUCUCCUCCUCCUCCUGGUCUUCUCUCCUUUUCCCUUUCAAUAUCUCUCCCUCUUUCUUUCUGUCUCCAAUGUGUUGACCCCAUUCUCACAUUGUAUUUGGUAGCAAAGGUGGCCAUUAGGAACGCUAGACAUGCAACAUGCAUCAUUCCUAGGGCUCGUAAUUCCAGAAGGAAAUAUUUUUUGGUUCUCUUUAUCCCUAUGUCAGUUUUAUUUCUUUGAAAGACUCUGAUUGGCUCUGUUUUAGAGCCUCUUUUCUCUCCAUUUAAGAGUUGCUCAGAGUGGACAGCCUGUGUGGGAAGGCUCUAUGAGAUUAACCUAGCAAGGUUACUGUCAAUGCCAGAAGAUGAAAGAAAUUCAAAGCAGGCAAAAAUGUAACAGGGCUCCCAACGACCACUACAUAUUUCUAAAUUACUUAGCAUAAUGGCAUGUUACAGGCUUCUGUCAAAUAUGUGUCUUAUUAAUCUUAACCGAGCCUAUCAACAUAUAGGUAAUAUUAAGUUUUUUAGCCCAAAUCUGUUCUCUAUAGCAUUGUAACUAUAAAACAUCUGUAGUAGAAAAUCUCAACCUUGAGUGUCAAGGAGAUUAAUUACAUGUUAUUAACUUUUUCCUUGAUCAUUUAAUAUUUGGCAUAUGUCAGGAAAGUCAACAUUUGGACUCAUUUAGGAAUUUGUCAUUUUAAUACUUAUUUUGGAUUAUUAGAAAUGGGAGUAGGAUAUAAAAAAAGGGAUGCUAAUUAUAUUCUAUGGUCUAGUGUCUACCCUAAGUCACCAUAUGUUUAGGCUGUUCUGUUACAGCAAAGUUUAUAGCCUUUCUACUUUCACCUCUAAUAUUAAUAUUAGCUUAUGUUGUUGAUUUUUGAAAAUAUUGUUUAUGAAUUGAUUUCUUCCCCUUCUACUGUCUUUAAAGAUAUAUGUGUGUAUAUGUAUAUAUAUAAAACAUUCUAAUCAUAUAGAAUCAAUAUGAUGGAUACAAUUAUAUACAGAUAUAUUUGUGUAUAUAUAGUUCUAUAUACAUAAAUAUAACACACAUGUAUAAUUACAUCUUUAUAUGAGUAUAAAGAUAAUAUGAUUUUGUAUGUUUAGAAUGUCAGAUUCUUAUCCUUUUUAGUCUUGUUUUUUAUCAUGGUACGACCUGGCUAAUUUUAAGCAUUUUACUACCACAAACUACAUUUAGGGAUCUUCUUCAAAGAGAAAAAGAUUAAUUUGCUAUGAAUAAUGAUUCUCAUGCAAAACAUUUUGGUGUUUUUUGUGAUGCAGAUGAGCAAUGCUAUAAAUAUAAUUUAGAAAGUUUGAAAAUUGAUUUUAACAUUCACUAUUCUUCUUCCGAAUUAAUCAAAUUACAAAAUUAUGCUGUGGUUUCCAGUAUAUUAAAAUAAGUUGUCAUAUUUGGAACAUCUGUUUAUGCUCCUAUUAUGAAUAUGGGUUUCUAAACAUCUGAACUAUAGAUUGCCAUAAAUAAUGUUUGUUAUUUAUUCUCUGGAAGUAUGAUAUCUACUUCCUCCCACAAUGCUUAUUUCCCACAAAGUAAAUCUUCCAGAUUGUUUUUAUCUUUUUCCUUAUCAAGAUAGAGCAAAAAAAAGUCAGGUUUUAGUUAAGUCUUGCUGAUUGGUUAAGUAAAGGAGGGCUGUCAUCUGCAGCCUUUCCAGACACUGUACCACGACUCCAAAUAGUCAGCUGGUAUUGUCGCUUUGUCUCAACUAUAAAUCAGUCUUGUAAUGGCCAAGGCUGACACCUUGACAUUUUCAAGAAGAGUAAAAGAACUGAUCUGAAUGGAAAUCAAUUUUAUUUCACAAAUCUUGGGUUACUACUCCAAGCCUUUUCUUCUUGUGUCUUCUUGAGACUUACCUGGGAUUUUCACGAUCAUCAAAGGAUUAUUUGAGUUGUUUGUUAUACUAUCACAUCUUUUAGCUAUAGAACCAUAUCCUUACUUCCUUCUUCGAUCUCAAGAUGGAAAACUUUAUUUUUAAAAUUUUAUAUAAUAAAAAAUCACCAAUAUGCCAGAUUUCAUUUUAACCAUGACAUAUUGAUAGUUUAAAAAUGUGGCAGUAGCAGCAAUUGCCAUUGGUUUUGCAGAAUUUUCCCUAAAUGUUCUGUGAUUUAAAAAUACCAGCUGUGUAUACAUAUAUCCAGAUUAAUCAUUGAUUAUACAAUGAUACAUAAUAUCAUUUAUGGAGUGAUUUUUGAACUUCAAUCUACCAGGUCUCAAGCAUAGAAUCCUCUGAAAAAUGUUUUUACUUUUAUAUUCUUGCACACAAAAAGUAGGCUUUAGGAUUUUAGAGUCAGUGAGGAAUAACAUGCAUUUAAUUGUAUUACGUUGGUUGAGAAUUAAAUUCUGCCUCAGUUUUUUGUUGUCAUUGUUGUUUGUUUGUUUAUUUUUUGCCAUUCAACCCAAGUGGCAUAGAAAAAAACUCCACACUUGACUAGUGUGAAAAGAAGGUCUUUAUAGAUCUUUUAGGAACUUGGCAUUAAAUGUUUAAAAAAAAAUUAACUACUCUGGUAUGUCUUCCACUUUAGGAGAACACUGAAAUUUCCUUAAAACUACAGAGGGGAAGAAACUUGUGCAUCCUUAAUAUUUUUGCUUGCCACCUCAACAAAUAUGAUCUCAAUUCAAUGUAACCUUAGCUCUAAACAUGUUAUUAAUCAAGAAUUUGGGCAUCACCCCUCUUCUUGUCAAAUAUGGAAAAAUUACCACAAUGCCUGCCAGUGAUUUCUCUUUAUCAUCUUCAUUAUUAGUCUUUCAUUUUGUUGAAAACCUCAUUUCUAAACAGGAAUGUGCUUUGAUUGCUAAAUUCAUUAUGUUGCAGUGCUCCACAAACAAAUGGAGUUAUAGACGAUUACAAACAGGAGAUUUUCAACCCUUAAAUCUUUUUAUCCACCUAUUCAUCCAUUCAUUCAUAAUCUAUACAAAACAAGACUUUAUGCUAAGGAUGUGUGAAAUACUAAAUAAAGUUAGAAAUCCUUCUUCACAACAUACUAUAUUUUUACCAGUGUGGCAGGUGCUGAGAAUCCUUCAAAGAUUUUUGGGAAGAUGGAAAAUGAAUCCAAAGUCAGUGUAACUUAAGACCUCAACCCAGGGGGCAUCUCAAAACUACUCAGAAAGACUUACGAAGGCACACCCUUCAUGCUACCCUGAAGGUUCUGACUCAGUAGCUUGGAAGUAGGGCCUGUGCAGAUGCAUUCGUAAAAGCUCCUAGGUGACUAACACUCCAAUCGAUAAAGAGUUGGGUAGAGAAUGUUGAAAUGAGGAGAAUGAGGGAUAAUUAGCCACACAAAGAAACAAAAAGGAGCUCUAACCCAAGGACUUCCUCACAUGAAGUCUACCAUAUUCCCAUGAGAUUUUAUAUGAGAUUUUGAGUGGAUAUCCAUUUUUCUGGGGGAAAAUGAACCAAUAGUGUUUAUAAGAUUCUGAAGGAAGACUAAAACCACUCCAAAAUUAAGAACCGCUAGGAAUACACACUGUGAAAAUGCGAAGGUAAAUGUGAGAAAUCAUGGCUAUACAAUUAAAAGAAUGCCAUGACCUUGUAGAUUGCAUGGGGAUAAAAAUUGUAGCAGGGAAGAAAGAAGUAGAAAAAAUUAAUAUAAAUGUGUCCACCUUUGACACUAGAAGGAUGAGAACCAUGAUAAUCCUUCUGUGAACCAGCAUCCCCCCAUCAACUAUUUCAGUUAAAAGAACUUUGAUAUCCUGCAUGUUGGACUCAUGGUGUGAAUGUGACUCUCAAAGGUAAGGUGUCAAACAGUAAUGAAAAUUUUGGAGGUGAUUACAUAGCUUUGAACAUCAUUUCUGUAGAAAGCUGGUUGAACACGCUGAAGUCAUAAAUAGGCAUCUUUUAUCCUAUUUCUCCCUUUGACUGACUUUCACUUCCCAGGUAAUCUAGAGUGACUAUAGAAGCUACACUAUGUUGAUUUUCCAGCCAGAGGAAUAAGAGGAGAAUAAUAAGGAUGCUAUCUAUACUUCCUUUUAAAGAAGAUUUCUGGAAACCUUCCACUCUACCCUUAAAACUUAGCAGGUACACAAAGCUUUUGGGAGAAUAGGUACAUGGAAGUGUAGGCUUUAUUCUGGGUAUUUGUUCAUCCAGCUGAAUACCAGAGGAAUAGAGUAGAGGAGUUCCUACUGUGGCUCAGUGGGUUACAAACCCGACUAGUAUCCAUGAGGACGCAGGUUCAAUCCCCGGAUUAAGGAUCUGGUGUUGCCUUGAGCUGUGGUGAGGAUUGUAGAAUGGCUCAAAUUACAUGUUGCUGUGGCUGUGGCCAGCAGCUGUAGCUCUGAUUCGACCCCUAGUCUGAGAACUUCUAUAUGCCAGAGGUG
This 6517-nucleotide long non-coding RNA is filed under the name Sus scrofa (pig). Its description in RNAcentral is "lncRNA (ENSSSCG00035038791.1)". The record is from RNAcentral. Lineage: Eukaryota; Metazoa; Chordata; Mammalia; Artiodactyla; Suidae.